Molecule: long non-coding RNA, 426 nt
Filed under: Zostera marina
Lineage: Eukaryota; Viridiplantae; Streptophyta; Magnoliopsida; Alismatales; Zosteraceae
Description: long non-coding RNA (ZMAR_LNC002522)
Source: RNAcentral
GGUGAUUGUGAUGAAAGUCGGCGAGUUAUGAAGAAGCUCGGCGACUUAGAAAAGGAUUAGGGUUUAAGCAAAAUAAGGGUAAGUGGAGUGCGGAUUAAAAUAGCCGACUCUCUAUUUAUAGACCCUGGGCAAAUUGCAAAAAUUCCCCGGAGAAUCUACAAAUUACGCGAAGAAAAAUCGCUAAUUGAUCUCCAAAUCCGCAAACUCGGCGAGUCUCUAGCAAACUCGCCGAGUUUGAGCAUAAAUCACGGGAUACGAGGAGGAAAUUUCCAUACUUGGAAAAUUUGCAAAUAUUUCCCAAGAUCCUAAGGAUUCUCGAAGAGAUCCGCCAGCUCAUACUAAGACUCGCCGAGUUUAUAGGAAAAUCGCCUAUCCAGGUCAGCGAACCUCCAGACUUCUCAAAAAACAACCCCAAUGCUAAGUCGG